Long non-coding RNA from Chinchilla lanigera (long-tailed chinchilla), 4078 nucleotides. RefSeq lists it as uncharacterized. The transcript has 6 exons. Lineage: Eukaryota; Metazoa; Chordata; Mammalia; Rodentia; Chinchillidae. The record is from RefSeq and is a predicted model, not a curated record.
UGAACCGUGUCUUUGAAAACGCUAAAGUCAUAACACAGCAUCCUAAUUGGAUCUCUCCAUCUUUAGGAGGGAGAACAAUUGCUUUAAGCCAGUGUUUUUCAAACUGUGGUUGUGACCCAUUAAUAUGGGACCUGAUUUAACUGAUAUCUGACCCAUACUUUUUAGUGGCAUGUAACAGAAAGGCCGAAGUGUAUCUCCUAGAGUUUUGUGAAUUUUUUGUUUCAGUAGUGUGUAUGUAUAAGGGAUAUGCACAUGCUGGUUUGUAAUGGAAAAUAUAGUUCUUUUGUGGAACAAGCUCUGAAAGGUAGAAAAGAUCCACUUCUAGCAACUUUAGACGGAAAAGGAGCACUGGUGAUAUGUAAUUAGUACUAAGCCAGUCAACUCAACAACAGUGGCAGAAUUUCACAUGGUUCAUAUUAUAAAGAAAAAGUUUCAGGACUGAGAGUUCCUGCUGGGGAGAUCUGCGAGAUCUGCCAGGGGAGGCCUGGCCCACAGGGACAGCUGUGGACAGACACUGGAAAUGAGCCCCAAGGAUGAGCCUCCAGUUAAUCAAAACACAGAAAUGCAGCUCCUUUCUGCUUACCCUCCGAGGAGAGCUGUCCCUGUGGAGUAUGACUUCAAGAGGAGGAAUAACAGCGCCUGCGCCUGUCUUGCCCACCUGUCCAGCCCAUUUGUUACAACUGACCUCAACUGACCUUGCAGGCCCCUCUGCAUUGCCCCCCUCAGGAAGGAAAUCCAUUCAUGUGCUUCAUGCUUGGAGACAGAAUCAGAGAAGAGAGGGAGAGUCCCGCUGCAGCCCUCCUGAGCCUCUCACAAUACAGCAGUGGAGGGCCAUGCACAGGGACAUCAACCCCACUGAAGACGAACUUCUCUACCCUUGGAAGUCUGCUACGGAGACCCCGGACUUCCUCCCGCUUCCUGUGAUAAGCGGAGCUUCCUGAAUUUCCAGGAAGAGAACUGGAAGCCACCGAUCUCCUUUCCCACAGGGCCUCCCGUGCCUCUCUUGGGUUAGCUCUGAGAGUGUGGCCAUGGAGAACAGGCUGAGGAGGACAGUGCCUCUUCCAGGAGCUGGGCCCUAGAUCGCUCCAACUUGCGCCCUCAGUUCCCCUCUCUGCCUGCUCAGGCCCUUCGGUGCGCCAAGCUUGUUCCUGCCCCGGAGUCCCUGCGCAUGCUCUGUGCUCUGCCUGGCAUCUUCUCCUGCAUCUUCUCCUCUCCCCGCUCUGGGUCUCAGUCUGAAAUACUCCCUGCUUAGAACGGCUCCCCUGUGUGCCUGAUGCAGGACCCCAGGCUGCUCUGCACAGAGUCCUUCGCUCCCACCCCUCCCAGAACCUCGUCAAGCCCACAUCACUCUUUCUCAGCACCUAUUUCUUCUGUGGCCCUUACUGAACAAUUAUUUUAUUGCUUAGGCGCCUGCUCGUUUAUUUCUGCCUCCCCAGGAGAAGGUGCACCCUGAGAGGAAGGGUAGGAUUUUGUUUGUGCUGUGCCUCUUUGGGUCCCCAGCCCUUCACAACGCAGGCCACAGUAGCCAUGUGUGGAGUGAAUGGUGUCAGGCUAAUGUUGGUGGAGAUAAUUUUGCGGGACCCUCAGCAGUACGCUGUGUGCUUUGGUUUGUGUCCCUGGCAAUGCAGUGAGAGGGAACUGAGGCAGAGUUGUGAGGCUGGAGGCCGAGCUCUGCCCCCACCCAGCUGGGUGACUUGGCUUGGCCUCUUAACCUCUCCAGGCCACAGUCUCCUUCUGGGUACACUGGGGUUUCUGUUCCUUCUUUAUGAAAUUCCUCUCAGGUCUGAUAGUCCUAGAAGCAAAAGGCCUAAGAAUUCUAGAACAUCAGUGGCACAUACAGUAGAAUGUUAUUCCUUGACAAAAAGGCAUGAGGUACUGAUACAUGUUACAUCAGUGUAAAGUGAAACAAACAAACAAAAAACAGCCGCAGGAGACCACAUAUCCCAUUUGCACAGAAAGCCCAGAAUAAGCAAAUCCAUAAAGACGGCAAGUAGGUUACUAGUAGCCAGGGCUUGUCCAGAGGUGGAGAUUGGCCAUGGAUGGCCAUGGGGGAAUUAAGAGAAAGGGCACAUGGUUUACUUUUGAAAAUGUUUAGAAUCGAUGGCAGAGAUGGUUGCAUCAGUCUGUUAAGAAAAGUUGCAAGCAAAAACGCCGGGUUAUGCACUGUGAACGGGUAAAUUCUAUGGUGUGUGAAUCAUAUCUCUGUAAAGCUGUUUAUUUUAAAGGGCCUGUAUUCUCAUUGGACUUCAUGGUUUUCAGAGAACCUUCACAUAUAUUUUUAAAAUUAAUUUCUCAGCAUAAUUUUGCAUAUGUGAGAUGAAGGGAAGAGGAUAGCCAUGUAUUAUUGAUCACCCACGUGUGCCAGCCAUCAUGUGAAUUUUUGCUUGGUGUACAUAGUGUCAGAUUAAGGAGGGUGGGCUCUAGACCCAAACCACACGACUUCCAGUUCUGGCUGUGCUGCGCCGUGCAUUCGCUGGGUGAUCUGUGGGCAGAUUGUUGACCUGUUUCCUUACCUACAGCUAGAGUUGAACCGAUGAAGUGAGGUAAUGCAUGGAAAGUGGACAGUAUGAUCAUUAUUUGCUCUGUGCUUACAUGACCCCACCUGGUCCUCACAGUCCUCCCUGGAGAGAGGCCACACCCACUGCAAGCUACAGGAGAGAUGCUGAAGCUUGGUGGUAGCAGAUUUUAUUCAAGGCUAUACUUAAAGAAGGUGAAAAAGCAUGACCAGGACUGGGCUCGAGUACUUCCGGUGCCCUACCUUUUCCUCUCCUUCACACGGCUUCUUAGGCUCCAAUUAGAGGUGGAUGGUCCUAAUCUGCUUGCACCCUCUUGUGUUCAAGGUUAGACACUGGCAAGAUGCCAGACAGUCCUGCCGGGUCCCAUUGGUAGCGUCCACUCUCAUGGAGUGGAGGGAGACUAGUGCCUGGCAUUUAUCUGCGUAGGUAUUUCAUCAAAUACACUCCCUAAGGGUGGGUCUUUUUAGCUAAUCAAGGGCAAGAUGUUGAAAAGCUUUUCAUGUCCUAGUUCCCUUCAGUUCUGCUGCCUUACAUGGUACCCACUUGUCUUGCUGCGGGGCUAAGUGGAGCUGCCUCCGCCCUCUGUGGCAUCCUCUUGUGGCCAUGGGAAGGCCUCACACAGGCGACAAGAGCUGCAGGUCUGCCUAGCACAUGACUGCAGCCCCCACCCAUGAGCCCCAGCACCAGGGUUGUGGGGCUGGUGAGAGUUCGUCUCAAGAGUUUCCUCUGUAAAUAUUAUUUCUACAGGAUGUCCAAGUUUCAUAGCUCAUUUUCACUGGAUUUCUUUCUGGCUAAGUUUCCUAAACAUAUAUCCUUUUGCAAGCAGCGCCGGCAGGAAGGAGCAACACCCAGCCUGAGCCGCUCAUGUAGCUGCCUAGGUGUCCAGCUCUCCAGGAUGACCUCACCCCAGUUUUCCAGACAUACAUCCUCUUGCAGCUGCCACUGGGGAAGGAGGGAGCAUGAGAAAGGGGGCCUCAGAAAGAGAGGGAGGAGUGGCCGCAGUGCAGCAACCCCUUCCCCUCCAGCAGUGCAGGUCCAGGCGCGGAGAGCCGUUCCUUCCACACAUACUCGUGUGCCUGGUGUGGGAACUGUGCUCCGUGCACACAUGGUCCCCGCAGCCAGGGCUUACACAUGAUUAGGAGCCAGACACACCAACCCGUACAUGGUAAAACAGCGCAGAACAAGGGCCCCAUUUGUUUUUGAGCAAAUGCAAACAAAAGUGCAAAAACCAUAAUAAAAACUCUAUCUCCUUUCCCCUGUUCUUUCUCUAUAAAAUUUUCCCUCUUUUUUGUCCCUUCUUUCAAAGCUGAAAAUAAUAAACAGUCAAAAAAUGUUGUGGGGAAACACAGUAAACCCUUGAUGAAAACUUUGUAAAAAACACCAAUAUGUAUAGCUCUUGAAUAUAUAUUUAUGAAUGUAAAAUAGCGCACUAGAUAUACACUGAAUUCAUACAGUAGCUUCUCCGGGGAGGAUGAGAAGGACUAAGGCUAGGGAGAGGGAUGGGAAGAAUUGCCUCCUACCCUCACGCUUCAUUUAAAAAACAAGAACAAUUCUAUUUUUUU